CUUGACGACUUCAAUCCUCCUAAAAUUUGUAACAUCUCACAUAGUUUUUAAAAAAAAUAAUUCUAUUCAUCCUAACUUGUUCAAUAUAGGUCUUGUCACUAGCAUAUGCAAAUAUUUUCACAUAAUCUCAUUUUACAUAAAAUUCUAAACUAUAUUAUCUAAUCCUUGGUCUAUAAGUAUGUAGGCUAUGGACAACACCUAAUGUAACUAAGAACCAACUCGCAAUUGUACACAUUUGCAACCAUAUUGUCAAUGCAAGACCAAUUCUUUUACGCCUC
Molecule: long non-coding RNA, 278 nt
Filed under: Gossypium barbadense (sea-island cotton)
Lineage: Eukaryota; Viridiplantae; Streptophyta; Magnoliopsida; Malvales; Malvaceae
Description: long non-coding RNA (GBAR_LNC016371)
Source: RNAcentral